GCAAAUCCCUAAAAGCCAUCCCAGUUCGGAUUGCAGGCUGAAACCCGCCUGUAUGAAGUUGGAAUCGCUAGUAAUCGCGGAUCAGCAUGCCGCGGUGAAUACGUUCCCGGGCCUUGUACACACCGCCCGUCACACCAUGAGAGUCGGGAACACCCGAAGUCCGUAGUCUAACCGCAAGGGGGACGCGGCCGAAGGUGGGUUCGAUAAUUGGGGUGAAGUCGUAACAAGGUACC
This 233-nucleotide ribosomal RNA is filed under the name uncultured bacterium. Its description in RNAcentral is "partial 16S ribosomal RNA". It matches the Rfam family "Bacterial small subunit ribosomal RNA", at positions 1267 to 1500 of the family's 1533-position model. The record is from RNAcentral.